This 460-nucleotide ribosomal RNA is filed under the name uncultured bacterium. RNAcentral's name for it is "partial 16S ribosomal RNA". It matches the Rfam family "Bacterial small subunit ribosomal RNA", at positions 338 to 795 of the family's 1533-position model. The record is from RNAcentral.
CCUACGGGAGGCAGCAGUGAGGAAUAUUGGUCAAUGGACGAGAGUCUGAACCAGCCAAGUAGCGUGAAGGAUGACUGCCCUCUGGGUUGUAAACUUCUUUUAUAAAGGAAUAAAACGAGGCACGUGUGCCUUUUUGCAUGUACUUUAUGAAUAAGGAUCGGCUAACUCCGUGCCAGCAGCCGCGGUAAUACGGAGGAUCCGAGCGUUAUCCGGAUUUAUUGGGUUUAAAGGGAGCGUAGAUUGGUUGUUAAGUCAGUUGUGAAAGUUUGCGGCUCAACCGUAAAAUUGCAAUUGAUACUGGCAGUCUCGAGUACAGUUGAGGUAGGCGGAAUUCGUGGUGUAGCGGUGAAAUGCUUAGAUAUCACGAAGAACCCCGAUUGCGAAGGCAGCUUACUAAACUGUGACUGACAUUGAUGCUCGAAAGUGUGGGUAUCAAACAGGAUUAGAUACCCGGGUAGUC